AUUCUUAUUCCAUCCCUUUAGAUUUGUGUGUAGUAGGUAGCUGUUGGGGAAUUGUUAGAUUUAUUAGAUAUUACUAGAUAUUAAUAGUACUUAGACAUUAGAUAUUACUGCACUGUCGGAACUAGAAGCACAAGCAUUUCGCUACACUCGCAUGAACAUCUGCUAACCAUGUGUAUGUGACCAAUACAAUUUGAUUUGAUUUGAUUUGAGGCACCAAAGUCAUGGCCAACUCGUUCACAUUUGGCCAGGAGGCUAAGCUGGAGACGAUGACUAGAGAGAAGAACAAGCCUACGGUGAAUCUGGUUGGGAACACACUAAACGUCUCACUGAAGGGCAUUGAGUCAGUCGCGGAACAUCAUCGUUACCAUGACGCUUCGCCCCAUCGUCUGCAAGAGGAUAAGUAAGCUCAUGUAGUGAUCUCUCAACCCUUUUUGAAUAAACCAGGAAAAUGUAUUGACUUCUAUGGUUUGUCUAUAAAGAGUUGAUCCUUAGCUUUGAUUGGUUGAGCUACAAUGUAGCAAAACAGACUCCAGACUCUAUCCAGUGUUCACUUUAAUUGCCUUUUACAUUCAAUAUUUCACAUGGUAAUAUGGCACAUGGUGGGUAUACUG
Non-coding RNA from Salmo salar (Atlantic salmon), 611 nucleotides. The record is from RefSeq and is a predicted model, not a curated record. Lineage: Eukaryota; Metazoa; Chordata; Actinopteri; Salmoniformes; Salmonidae.